RNAcentral lists this ribosomal RNA (2915 nucleotides) under Vibrio parahaemolyticus. Its description in RNAcentral is "bacterial LSU rRNA". It matches the Rfam family "Bacterial large subunit ribosomal RNA". The record is from RNAcentral. Lineage: Bacteria; Pseudomonadati; Pseudomonadota; Gammaproteobacteria; Vibrionales; Vibrionaceae.
GUUGUAUGGUUAAGUGACUAAGCGUACACGGUGGAUGCCUUGGCAGUCAGAGGCGAUGAAAGACGUAGUAACUUGCGAUAAGCCCAGAUUAGGUAGUAACAACCAUUUGAGUCUGGGAUUUCUGAAUGGGGAAACCCACGUGCAUAAGCACGUAUCCUUACCUGAAUACAUAGGGUAAGGAGGCGAACCGGGGGAACUGAAACAUCUAAGUACCCCGAGGAAAAGAAAUCAACCGAGAUUCCGAAAGUAGCGGCGAGCGAAAUUGGACUAGCCCUUAAGCUUUACACGCGUUAGACGAACGGUCUGGAAAGUCCGACGAUACAGGGUGAUAGUCCCGUAGUUGACGACGUGUGUUCAGUGAAAUCGAGUAGGGCGGGACACGUGAUAUCCUGUCUGAAUAUGGGGGGACCAUCCUCCAAGGCUAAAUACUACUGACUGACCGAUAGUGAACCAGUACCGUGAGGGAAAGGCGAAAAGAACCCCUGUGAGGGGAGUGAAAUAGAACCUGAAACCGUGUACGUACAAGCAGUAGGAGCAGGCUUGUCCUGUGACUGCGUACCUUUUGUAUAAUGGGUCAGCGACUUAUAUUCAGUGGCAAGGUUAACCAUCUAGGGGAGCCGUAGGGAAACCGAGUCUUAACUGGGCGUUCAGUCUCUGGAUAUAGACCCGAAACCAGGUGAUCUAGCCAUGGGCAGGUUGAAGGUUGAGUAACAUCAACUGGAGGACCGAACCGACUAAUGUUGAAAAAUUAGCGGAUGACUUGUGGCUAGGGGUGAAAGGCCAAUCAAACCUGGAGAUAGCUGGUUCUCCCCGAAAGCUAUUUAGGUAGCGCCUCGGACGAAUACUACUGGGGGUAGAGCACUGUUAAGGCUAGGGGGUCAUCCCGACUUACCAACCCUUUGCAAACUCCGAAUACCAGUAAGUACUAUCCGGGAGACACACGGCGGGUGCUAACGUCCGUCGUGGAGAGGGAAACAACCCAGACCGCCAGCUAAGGUCCCAAAUUACUACUAAGUGGGAAACGAUGUGGGAAGGCUCAGACAGCCAGGAUGUUGGCUUAGAAGCAGCCAUCAUUUAAAGAAAGCGUAAUAGCUCACUGGUCGAGUCGGCCUGCGCGGAAGAUGUAACGGGGCUAAGUAGUAAACCGAAGCUGCGGCAAUGUGCUUUUGCACAUUGGGUAGGGGAGCGUUCUGUAAGCGGUUGAAGGUGUGUGGUAACGCAUGCUGGACGUAUCAGAAGUGCGAAUGCUGACAUGAGUAACGAUAAAGGGGGUGAAAAACCUCCUCGCCGGAAGACCAAGGGUUCCUGUCCAACGUUAAUCGGGGCAGGGUAAGUCGACCCCUAAGGCGAGGCCGAAAGGCGUAGUCGAUGGGAAACGGGUUAAUAUUCCCGUACUUCUUACAAUUGCGAUGGGGGGACGGAGAAGGCUAGGUGGGCCUGGCGACGGUUGUCCAGGUUCAAGUGCGUAGGCUUAAGAGUUAGGUAAAUCCGGCUCUUUUUAAGGCUGAGACACGACGUCGAGCACCUACGGGUGUGAAGUCAUUGAUGCCAUGCUUCCAGGAAAAGCCUCUAAGCUUCAGAUUGUAAGGAAUCGUACCCCAAACCGACACAGGUGGUCGGGUAGAGAAUACCAAGGCGCUUGAGAGAACUCGGGUGAAGGAACUAGGCAAAAUGGUACCGUAACUUCGGGAGAAGGUACGCUCUUGAUGGUGAAGUCCCUCGCGGAUGGAGCUGACGAGAGUCGCAGAUACCAGGUGGCUGCAACUGUUUAUUAAAAACACAGCACUGUGCAAAAUCGUAAGAUGACGUAUACGGUGUGACGCCUGCCCGGUGCCGGAAGGUUAAUUGAUGGGGUUAGACUUCGGUCGAAGCUCUUGAUCGAAGCCCCGGUAAACGGCGGCCGUAACUAUAACGGUCCUAAGGUAGCGAAAUUCCUUGUCGGGUAAGUUCCGACCUGCACGAAUGGCGUAAUGAUGGCCACGCUGUCUCCACCCGAGACUCAGUGAAAUUGAAAUCGCUGUGAAGAUGCAGUGUACCCGCGGCUAGACGGAAAGACCCCGUGAACCUUUACUACAGCUUGGCACUGAACAUUGACCCUACAUGUGUAGGAUAGGUGGGAGGCUUUGAAGCACGUACGCCAGUAUGUGUGGAGCCGUCCUUGAAAUACCACCCUUGUAGUGUUGAUGUUCUAACGUCGACCCCUAAUCGGGGUUGCGGACAGUGCCUGGUGGGUAGUUUGACUGGGGCGGUCUCCUCCCAAAGAGUAACGGAGGAGCACGAAGGUGGGCUAAUCACGGUUGGACAUCGUGAGGUUAGUGCAAUGGCAUAAGCCCGCUUGACUGCGAGAAUGACAAUUCGAGCAGGUGCGAAAGCAGGUCAUAGUGAUCCGGUGGUUCUGAAUGGAAGGGCCAUCGCUCAACGGAUAAAAGGUACUCCGGGGAUAACAGGCUGAUACCGCCCAAGAGUUCAUAUCGACGGCGGUGUUUGGCACCUCGAUGUCGGCUCAUCACAUCCUGGGGCUGAAGUCGGUCCCAAGGGUAUGGCUGUUCGCCAUUUAAAGUGGUACGCGAGCUGGGUUUAGAACGUCGUGAGACAGUUCGGUCCCUAUCUGCCGUGGGCGUUGGAAGAUUGAAGGGGGCUGCUCCUAGUACGAGAGGACCGGAGUGGACGAACCUCUGGUGUUCGGGUUGUGUCGCCAGACGCAUUGCCCGGUAGCUAAGUUCGGAAUCGAUAACCGCUGAAAGCAUCUAAGCGGGAAGCGAGCCCUGAGAUGAGUCUUCCCUGAUACUUUAAGUAUCCUAAAGGGUUGUCGGAGACUACGACGUUGAUAGGUCAGGUGUGUAAGUGCUGUGAGGCAUUGAGCUAACUGAUACUAAUUGCCCGUGAGGCUUAACCAUACAACACCCAAGGGGUUU